GGAUACACCCGUUCCCAUGCCGAACACGGAAGUUAAGCUUCGUCGCGCCAAGAGUAGUUGGGGGAUCGCUCCCUGCGAGGGUAGGUCGUCGCCAUGC
RNAcentral lists this ribosomal RNA (97 nucleotides) under Furfurilactobacillus milii. Lineage: Bacteria; Bacillati; Bacillota; Bacilli; Lactobacillales; Lactobacillaceae. The record is from RNAcentral.